Molecule: ribosomal RNA, 387 nt
Filed under: uncultured bacterium
Lineage: Bacteria
Description: bacterial SSU rRNA
Rfam family: Bacterial small subunit ribosomal RNA
Source: RNAcentral
AUUGAACGCUGGCGGAAUGCUUUACACAUGCAAGUCGAACGGCAGCACGGGGCGAACCUGGUGGCGAGUGGCGAACGGGUGAGUAAUACAUCGGAACGUGCCCAAUCGUGGGGGAUAACGUAGCGAAAGUUACGCUAAUACCGCAUACGAUCUACGGAUGAAAGCGGGGGGAUCGCAAGACCUCGCGCGAAUGGAGCGGCCGAUGUCAGAUUAGGUAGUUGGUGGGGGUAAAGGCUCACCAAGCCGACGAUCUGUAGCUGGUCUGAGAGGACGACCAGCCACACUGGGACUGAGACACGGCCCAGACUCUACGGGAGGCAGCAGUGGGGGAAUUUUGGACAAUGGGCGCAAGCCUGAUCCAGCCAUUCCGCGUGCAGGAUGAAGGCC